This 95-nucleotide signal recognition particle RNA is filed under the name Verrucomicrobiaceae bacterium. RNAcentral's name for it is "Bacterial small signal recognition particle RNA". It matches the Rfam family "Bacterial small signal recognition particle RNA". Rfam says of the family: The signal recognition particle (SRP) is a universally conserved ribonucleoprotein involved in the co-translational targeting of proteins to membranes. Archaeal SRP consists of a 7S RNA and homologues of the eukaryotic SRP19 and SRP54 proteins. In most bacteria, the SRP consists of a 4.5S RNA and the Ffh protein (a homologue of the eukaryotic SRP54 protein). Lineage: Bacteria; Pseudomonadati; Verrucomicrobiota; Verrucomicrobiia; Verrucomicrobiales; Verrucomicrobiaceae. The record is from Rfam by way of RNAcentral.
UGUCAGGGGCCAUGGAGUGCCGGCAGGCGAACCCCGCCAGGUCCGGAAGGAAGCAACGGUAGUUUGUCCGGCACUGCCGUGGUUCUCUGACAGCG